CAUCCUGGCAACAGGAACGACCAUAAAGAAGCCGUCGAGAGAUAUCGGAAGAGUUUUCUUUUCUGUUUUAUAGUCGUACUACCAUGGAAGUCUUUCGAAGAGAGAUAUGGUAGAUGGGCUAGAAGAGCAUGACAUUUACUGUUGUGUCGAUAUUUUCUCCUCGGACCUUGAAAAUUUAUGGUGGGGUCACGCAAACUUCUCAACAGGCCGUACCAAUAUCCGCAGCUGGUCUCCAAGGUGAAGAGUCUCUAGUCGAUAGAAUAAUGUAGGUAAGGGAAGUCGGCAAAUUAGAUCCGUAACUUCGGGAUAAGGAUUGGCUCUGAAGAUUGAGAUAGUCGGGCUUGAUUGGGAAGCAAUAACAUGGUUUAUGUACUCGUUCUGGGUAAAUAGAGAUUUUCGGAUCUUGUUCCUCGGAUAGUAGUUACGUAGCCAAUUGUGGAACUUUCUUGCUAAAAUUUUAGGGAAUUAUCGCAAGAUAUAUUCCUUUUAAAUUAUAACGACUAUCAAUUAACAAUCAAUUCAGAACUGGCACGGACUUGGGGAAUCCGACUGUCUAAUUAAAACAAAGCAUUGUGAUGGCCCUAACGGGUGUUGACACAAUGUGAUUUCUGCCCAGUGCUCUGAAUGUCAAAGUGAAGAAAUUCAAGUAAGCGCGGGUAAACGGCGGGAGUAACUAUGACUCUCUUAAGGUAGCCAAAUGCUCGUCAUCUAAUUAGUGACGCGCAUGAUGGAUUAACGAGAUUCCUACUGUCCCUAUCUACUAUCUAGCGAAACCACAGCCAAGGGAACGGGCUUGGAAUAAUUAGCGGGGAAAGAAGACCCUGUUGAGCUUGACUCUAAUCUGGCAGUGUAAGGAGACAUAAGAGGUGUAGCAUAAGUGGGAGAUACUGGUCUUUCGGGGCCUUUGUCACCAAUGAAAUACCACUACUCUUAUUGUUUCCUUACUUACUUGAUUAAGUGGAACGUGUAUCAUUUCUUAGCCAUUAUACGGAUAUAUUUAUAUAUCUUAUGGUAUUGGGUUAUGAUGCAAGCUUCUUGAUCAAAGUACUAAGAGUUUGUUAUAUAAUUGUAAACAAAUUUUAAUGAGAUGAUGGCAUUUCGGUGCUAUUGUCAAUAUUUGAAAUUUGGUAUAACUCCCAAUACUCAGGUAUGAUCCAAUUCAAGGACAUUGCCAGGUAGGGAGUUUGACUGGGGCGGUACAUCUCUCAAAUAAUAACGGAGGUGUCCCAAGGCCAGCUCAGUGCGGACAGAAACCACACAUAGAGCAAAAGGGCAAAUGCUGACUUGAUCUCGGUGUUCAGUACACACAGGGACAGCAAAAGCUCGGCCUAUCGAUCCUUUUGGUUUAAGGAGUUUUAACAAGAGGUGUCAGAAAAGUUACCACAAGGCUAAAUUGGAAGAAGUUGCCGCCAAAUACAACUUGCAAGUCCGUGGUACCCGUGGUGAACACACCGAAGCCGAAGGUGGUAUCUACGAUAUCUCCAACAAGCGCCGCAUGGGUCUUACCGAAUUCCAAGCCGUCAAGGAAAUGUACGAUGGUAUUGCCGAACUCAUCAAGAUCGAAAAGAGCAUGUAAGGUGUUACACCUACGCCAACAACAACAACAACCCCCUAAUAUUAGAGCUUUCGGCUAGGCCAUCCAUCUCCGUAGCCGCUAGAUAAACAACGUUCGGUGGAAAUCACAACCAACAAUCCCAUAGUGUUCUCCUUUUUUUUUUGUAUUCUUAACAACUUGUC
RNAcentral lists this ribosomal RNA (1737 nucleotides) under Sarcophaga peregrina. RNAcentral describes it as "eukaryotic LSU rRNA". The stretch from base 1 to 1441 matches the Rfam family "Eukaryotic large subunit ribosomal RNA", at positions 1637 to 3401 of the family's 3401-position model. The record is from RNAcentral. Lineage: Eukaryota; Metazoa; Arthropoda; Insecta; Diptera; Sarcophagidae.